This 64-nucleotide transfer RNA is filed under the name Dipodomys ordii (Ord's kangaroo rat). It matches the Rfam family "tRNA", at positions 1 to 63 of the family's 71-position model. From Rfam's summary of the family: Transfer RNA (tRNA) molecules are approximately 80 nucleotides in length. Lineage: Eukaryota; Metazoa; Chordata; Mammalia; Rodentia; Heteromyidae. The record is from Rfam by way of RNAcentral.
GGGAAGUUGGCUCAGUGGUAGAGUGCUUGCUUUGCAUGCAUGAGACCCAGGGUUCGACUCCUCA